AUGACCACAAGAAGGCCACUCGAGCUACUUCAUAUGGAUCUUUUUGGUCCCAACGCCUACAAGAGUCUCGGUGGAAAUUCUUUUGGUCUAGUUAUAGUUGAUGAUUUUUCAAGAUUUACGUGGGUGUUCUUUCUUAAUGACAAGUCGCAGGUCCAGAAGAUCUUCAGAAACUUUGCUAGGAAGGCCCAAAAUCAGUUUGACAUGAAGAUCAAGAAGGUUCGGAGUGACAACGGAACGGAGUUCAAGAACGCAAAUGUGGACACCUUUCUUGACGAAGAAGGGAUUUCACACGAGUUCUCGGCUACGUACACACCUCAACAAAAUGGAGUUGUUCAGAGGAAGAACCGUACGCUCAUCGAAAUGGCAAGAACGAUGCUUGAUGAAUACAAGACGGCGAAGCACUUUUGGGCAGAAGCGGUUGAGACAGCUUGUCACGCAACAAAUCGCUUGUAUCUUCACAAGCUACUCGGCAAGACGGCAUACGAGCUCCUCACCGGUAACAAACCCCAAGUUGGAUACUUUCGAGUAUUCGGCUCAAAGCGCUACAUUCUUGAUAAGCAUCAUCGUUCAAUGUUUGCUCCUAAAUCUCAUGAAGGUUUUCUACUUGGUUAUGGCUCAAACUCUCACACUUACCGUGUCUACAACAAUUUCACCCGAAAGGUUGAAGAGACGGUAGAUGUGAAGUUUGAUGAAUCUAUUGGCUCGCAAGUAGAGCAAUUGCCAAUUGAUGUAGGAGACAAAGACCCUUCAGAAGCAAUCCAAGACCUGUCCAUUGGCAAAAUUCGUCCAACGGAGGUGAAGGAGAGUACUUCAUCCGUCCAAGUGGAAGCUUCUACUUCACGACAAGGUGAACCAAGAAUCGACACGGAAGCAUCCACAAGUGGGACACACCAAGAUGAAGAAAACGAGGAAAUACAUCAAGACGGACAUCAACAACCUCCUUCUCCACCACGAAAGGAGAAUGACAACGUCAACAAUGAAGAAGGCCAAGAAGAAGAACAAGAUGAAGAAGAUGUUCAACAAAGACCCAAGCAAAAGCUCUCAUGA
RNAcentral lists this ribosomal RNA (1047 nucleotides) under Triticum aestivum (bread wheat). RNAcentral describes it as "partial small subunit ribosomal RNA". The record is from RNAcentral. Lineage: Eukaryota; Viridiplantae; Streptophyta; Magnoliopsida; Poales; Poaceae.